RNAcentral lists this ribosomal RNA (497 nucleotides) under uncultured bacterium. RNAcentral describes it as "partial 16S ribosomal RNA". It matches the Rfam family "Bacterial small subunit ribosomal RNA", at positions 28 to 507 of the family's 1533-position model. The record is from RNAcentral.
GAUGAACGCUGGCGGCGUGCCUAAUACAUGCAAGUCGAGCGAACAGAUGAGGAGCUUGCUCCUCUGACGUUAGCGGCGGACGGGUGAGUAACACGUGGAUAACCUACCUAUAAGACUGGGAUAACUUCGGGAAACCGGAGCUAAUACCGGAUAAUAUAUUGAACCGCAUGGUUCAAUAGUGAAAGACGGUUUUGCUGUCACUUAUAGAUGGAUCCGCGCCGCAUUAGCUAGUUGGUAAGGUAACGGCUUACCAAGGCAACGAUGCGUAGCCGACCUGAGAGGGUGAUCGGCCACACUGGAACUGAGACACGGUCCAGACUCCUACGGGAGGCAGCAGUUGGGAAUCUUCCGCAAUGGGCGAAAGCCUGACGGAGCAACGCCGCGUGAGUGAUGAAGGUCUUCGGAUCGUAAAACUCUGUUAUUAGGGAAGAACAAAUGUGUAAGUAACUAUGCACGUCUUGACGGUACCUAAUCAGAAAGCCACGGCUAACUACGUG